RNAcentral lists this ribosomal RNA (1445 nucleotides) under uncultured Bordetella sp. RNAcentral's name for it is "partial 16S-23S ribosomal RNA intergenic spacer". It matches the Rfam family "Bacterial small subunit ribosomal RNA". The record is from RNAcentral. Lineage: Bacteria; Pseudomonadati; Pseudomonadota; Betaproteobacteria; Burkholderiales; Alcaligenaceae.
AGUUCGAUCAUGGCUCAGAUUAUGAACGCUGGCGGGAUGCUUUACAUGCAAGUCGAACGGCAGCACGGGAUUUCGGUCUGGUGGCGAGUGGCGAACGGGUGAGUAAUGUAUCGAACGUGCCUAGUGGGGUGGAUAAUCUACGUCGAAAGCAGCUAAUACCGCAUACGCCCCCGGGGAAAGCGGGGACCUUCGCCUCGCACUAUUAGAGCGGCCAUUGAUUAGCUUAUUGUGGGGUAACGUCACCAAGGCGACGAUCCGUAGCUGGUUUGAGAGGACGACCAGCCACACUGGGACUGAGACACGGCCCAGACUCCUACGGGAGGCAGCAGUGGGGAAUUUGGACAAUGGGGAACUCCGAUCCAGCCAUCCCGCGUGCGUGACAGCGCCUUCGGUUGUAGCACUUUACAGAAGAAACGGCACGGGAUAAUACCCCGUGCAACUGACGGUACCCGCAGAAUAAGCACCGGCCAACGAUGCCAGCAGCCGCGGUAAUACGUAGGGUGCAAGCGUUAAUCGGAAUUACUGGGCGUAAAGUGCGUGCAGGCGGUUCGGAAAGAAAGAUGUGAAAUCCCAGAGCUUAACUUGGAACUGCAUUUUUAACUACCGAGCUAGAGCGUGUCAGAGGGAGGUGGAAUUCCGCGUGCAGCAGUGAAAUGCGUAGAUAUGCGGAGGAACACCGAUGGCGAAGGCAGCCUCCUGGGAUAACACCUGAUGCUCAUGCACGAAAGUGUGGGGAGCAAACAGGAUUAGAUACUCCUGGUAGUCCACGCCCUAAACGAUGUCAACUAGCUGUUGGGGCCUGCCUGUAGCAGCUAAUGCGUGAAGCGGAUCGCCGAGCAUUGGUCAGUACAUUUCAAAACCUCACGAAAUUGACGACCCGCAAUGUUGGUAUUAUAGUGACAACUGAUAAACAAGAAACCAACAAAAAUUUUCGAUAGUGUUCUGUAGAACCUGAAGAGAUUUGGGAGUGUCGCAAGAGAACCGAACACAGGUGCUGCAUGGCUGUCGUCAGCUCGUGUCGUGAGAUGUUGGGUUAAGUCCCGCAACGAGCGCAACCCUUGUCAUUAGUUGCUACUGUGAAAGGGCACUCUAUCGAGACUGCCGGUGACAAACCGAGGAAGGUGGAUGACGUCAAGCCCUAUGGCCCUUAUGGGUAGGGCUUCACACGUCAUACAAUGGUCGGGACAGAGGGUCGCCAACCCGCGAGGGGAGCCAACUCAGAAACCCGAUCGUAGUCCGGAUCGAAGUCUGCAACUCGACUGGUGAAGUCGGAAUCGCUAGUAAUCGCGGAUCAGCAUGUCGCGGUGAAUACGUUCCCGGGUCUUGUACACACUGCCCGUCACACCAUGGGGAGUGGGUUUUACCAGAAGUAGUUAGCCUAACCGUAAGGAGGGCGAUUACCACGGUAGGAUUCAUGACUUCGGGGUGAAGUCGUAAUAAGGUAA